GAUGAACGCUAGCUACAGGCUUAACACAUGCAAGUCGAGGGGAAACGACAUCGAAAGCUUGCUUUUGAUGGGCGUCGACCGGCGCACGGGUGAGUAACGCGUAUCCCACCUGCCUAUUACUGGGUAAUAACUUGCGAAAGACACUAUUAUAACCCACGAUUUCCCACUGAAGGCAUGGGAUGGGCGUAAAUGUUUCUCGGUGAUGGGCGGGGGUGGGUCUGAUUAGUUUGCUGGCUGGGGGACCGCCCACCAAGGGAACGAUCAGUAGGGGGUCUGAGAGGAAGGUCCCCCACAUUGGAACUGAGACACGGUCCAAACUCCUACGGGAGGCAGCAGUAAGGAAUAUUGGUGGAUGGACGAGAGCCUGAACCAGCCAAGUAGCGUGCAGGAAGACUGCCCUAUGGAUUGUAAACUGCUUUGAUAAGAGAAUAGAGUGGGUCACGUGUGACUUUUUGCAUGUACCUAAUGAAUAAGGACCGGCUAAUUCCGUG
Molecule: ribosomal RNA, 491 nt
Filed under: uncultured bacterium
Lineage: Bacteria
Description: partial 16S ribosomal RNA
Rfam family: Bacterial small subunit ribosomal RNA
Source: RNAcentral